AUUGAACGCUGGCGGCAUGCCUUACACAUGCAAGUCGAACGGUAACGGGCCUUCGGGUGCCGACGAGUGGCGAACGGGUGAGUAAUACAUCGGAACGUGCCCGAUCGUGGGGGUUAACGAGGCGAAAGCUUUGCUAAUACCGCAUACGAUCUACGGAUGAAAGCAGGGGACCGCAAGGCCUUGCGCGGACGGAGCGGCCGAUGGCAGAUUAGGUAGGUGGUGGGAUAAAAGCUUACCAAGCCGACGAUCUGUAGCUGGUCUGAGAGGAUGAUCAGCCACACUGGGACUGAGACACGGCCCAGACUCCUACGGGAGGCAGCAGUGGGGAAUUUUGGACAAUGGGCGCAAGCCUGAUCCAGCCAUGCCGCGUGCAGGAUGAAGGCCUUCGGGUUGUAAACUGCUUUUGUACGGAACGAAAAGCCUUCUUUUAAUACAGGAGGGUCAUGACGGUACCGGAAGAAUAAGCACCGGCUAACUACGUG
RNAcentral lists this ribosomal RNA (482 nucleotides) under uncultured bacterium. Its description in RNAcentral is "partial 16S ribosomal RNA". It matches the Rfam family "Bacterial small subunit ribosomal RNA", at positions 30 to 507 of the family's 1533-position model. The record is from RNAcentral.